RNAcentral lists this transfer RNA (71 nucleotides) under Xenomystax atrarius (deepwater conger). RNAcentral describes it as "tRNA-Tyr". It matches the Rfam family "tRNA". From Rfam's summary of the family: Transfer RNA (tRNA) molecules are approximately 80 nucleotides in length. The record is from RNAcentral. Lineage: Eukaryota; Metazoa; Chordata; Actinopteri; Anguilliformes; Congridae.
GGUAAGAUGGCUGAGUGUUUUAGCGGUGGGUUGUAGUUCCACAAACAGAGGUUCAAUUCCUUUUCUUAUCA